RNAcentral lists this unclassified non-coding RNA (212 nucleotides) under fungal sp. RNAcentral's name for it is "partial internal transcribed spacer region". The stretch from base 1 to 46 matches the Rfam family "Eukaryotic small subunit ribosomal RNA", at positions 1786 to 1831 of the family's 1831-position model. Lineage: Eukaryota; Fungi. The record is from RNAcentral.
AAGUCGUAACAAGGUCUCCGUUGGUGAACCAGCGGAGGGAUCAUUACAGAGUUGCAAAACUCCUAACCAUUGUGAACGAACCCGUUAUAGUUGCUUCGGCGGGUAGUGCGUUGCAACUGCCCGCCGAUAGCAUGCAAUCUCUAGAUUACAGUGGAUCUCUGAGUUACUUAUUUAAUAAGUUAAAACUUUCAACAACGGAUCUCUUGGUUCUG